AGCGAACGCUGGCGGCAGGCUUAACACAUGCAAGUCGAGCGGGCAUCUUCGGAUGUCAGCGGCAGACGGGUGAGUAACACGUGGGAACGUACCCUUCGGUUCGGAACAACUCUGGGAAACUGGAGCUAAUGCCGGAUACGCCCUUAUGGGGAAAGGUUUACUGCCGAAGGAUCGGCCCGCGUCUGAUUAGCUAGUUGGUGGGGUAACGGCCUACCAAGGCGACGAUCAGUAGCUGGUCUGAGAGGAUGAUCAGCCACACUGGGACUGAGACACGGCCCAGACUCCUACGGGAGGCAGCAGUGGGGAAUAUUGGACAAUGGGCGCAAGCCUGAUCCAGCCAUGCCGCGUGAGUGAUGAAGGCCUUAGGGUUGUAAAGCUCUUUUGUCCGGGACGAUAAUGACGGUACCGGAAGAAUAAGCCCCGGCUAACUUCGUG
This 435-nucleotide ribosomal RNA is filed under the name uncultured bacterium. Its description in RNAcentral is "partial 16S ribosomal RNA". It matches the Rfam family "Bacterial small subunit ribosomal RNA", at positions 29 to 507 of the family's 1533-position model. The record is from RNAcentral.